RNAcentral lists this ribosomal RNA (500 nucleotides) under uncultured Glomeromycotina. RNAcentral describes it as "partial small subunit ribosomal RNA". It matches the Rfam family "Eukaryotic small subunit ribosomal RNA", at positions 591 to 1092 of the family's 1831-position model. The record is from RNAcentral. Lineage: Eukaryota; Fungi; Glomeromycota.
CCAAUAGCGUAUAUUAAAGUUGUUGCAGUUAAAAAGCUCGUAGUUGAAUUUCGGGAUCAAUAUGUUGGUCGUGCCAUUGGUACGUACUGGCAUUAUUGGUUUCUACCUUCUGAAGAACCUCGAUGUCAUUAAUUUGGUGUCUUGGGGAAUCAGGACUGUUACUUUGAAAAAAUUAGAGUGUUUAAAGCAGGCUCGCGCUUGAAUACAUUAGCAUGGAAUAAUGAAAUAGGCCGUUUGAUUCUAUUUUGUUGGUUUCUAGGAUCGGCGUAAUGAUUAAUAGGGAUAGUUGGGGGCAUUAGUAUUCAAUUGUCAGAGGUGAAAUUCUUGGAUUUAUUGAAGACUAACUACUGCGAAAGCAUUUGCCAAGGAUGUUUUCAUUAAUCAAGAACGAAAGUUAGGGGAUCGAAGACGAUCAGAUACCGUCGUAGUCUUAACCAUAAACUGUGCCGACUAGGGAUCGGAUGAUGUUAAUUUUUUAAUGACUCAUUCGGCGCCUUACG